AGCAAGCCCUGAAAGUCCAGUCCCGGCUCAGGAAGUUCUGAUCUUCAGCAGGUACAGGAGGGUCUGCUCCGGAGACCGGCCGGGACAUCGGCAAGCCCCAAGGUCGGCACAACCGAAGAUACGCAAGCGCAGCGUUCGGAGCAAGAAGCACACAUCAAGGUGACAAAAGCCACCCAGGCGGGAAGCCGACCUUUGCAGACAAGCCUCAGUCCUCACUCUCCUACGGCUUCACACAGUUCCAGAGUCUUGGGGUCUCUGGCAGAAGUCAGAGGCUAAAAUUGUUUUAAGAUAAAUAA
Molecule: long non-coding RNA, 296 nt
Filed under: Chinchilla lanigera (long-tailed chinchilla)
Lineage: Eukaryota; Metazoa; Chordata; Mammalia; Rodentia; Chinchillidae
Description: lncRNA (ENSCLAG00000025514.1)
Source: RNAcentral